Long non-coding RNA from Myotis myotis, 618 nucleotides. RefSeq lists it as uncharacterized. NCBI's taxonomy places the organism in Eukaryota, Metazoa, Chordata, Mammalia, Chiroptera, Vespertilionidae. The transcript has 2 exons. The record is from RefSeq and is a predicted model, not a curated record.
UCCGCGGAGAUCUCAAGGGACCCCUGUGACACGAGUCCAGCUAGAAUGUCAUGCAGGCGCCCGAGCUCCACCGAGGUUACCAGCCCCGCCUGCGCCUGGGAGCUCCCGAACCCUGGGCCACGCCAAGUACAUCGGGACGUCCCCAAAGCUCCGGUCCUCCACCUCAGCGGUAAACUCGGGAAAGGGGAGCCCAUCUGCUGGAGGGGGCCUUGUGAACUCAGUUCCGGGAGCCAGGGAGGUCCAAGGCUCCCAGGUGCACCCCAACAGCCCUGCCUCCGAGAGCCCCCAAGGGUGAAGAAGAGGAGGCCAGAAGCAGCUAAGAAAUUGGCCCAACGGCAGACGGUCCUGAGAGGAAGAGUCAGGCUGAACCACAGGCACUGACCUCCAGACGCCAGCAGGCAUGAACUGGCACCCAGAAUCCACAGGAAAAGCAUCAGAGUUCGAGCUCAGCCACUAACUUGCACUGUGACUUCAGGAGUCCCUCCUUCCCUCCCAGGGCUGCUAUCAUGAGGAAAAUCAGCCAACAUUUGCAAAGUGGCCAACAGGGUGUCUAAUCCACUGUAAGUGCUUGAGAGAGAGCCUGGAUUUUCUCAUGUAAUAAAAUAUUUCUUGAGCAUC